Molecule: ribosomal RNA, 253 nt
Filed under: uncultured bacterium
Lineage: Bacteria
Description: partial 16S ribosomal RNA
Rfam family: Bacterial small subunit ribosomal RNA
Source: RNAcentral
GACAGAGGUGCCGAGCGUUAGGCGGAAUCACUGGGCUUAAAGCGUGUGUAGGCGGGCCGUUAAGUGUCUUGUGAAAUCCCCCGGCUCAACCGGGGAACUGCUGGGCAUACUGGCGGCCUUGAGAGACCUAGGGGCGAGCGGAACAAGCGGUGGAGCGGUGAAAUGCGUAGAUAUCAGGAGGAACACCGAUGGCGAAGGCAGAUCUCUGGGCCUUACCUGACGCUGAGGAGCGAAAGCUGGGGGAGCGAACAGG